RNAcentral lists this non-coding RNA (101 nucleotides) under bovine gut metagenome. RNAcentral's name for it is "THF riboswitch". It matches the Rfam family "THF (Tetrahydrofolate) riboswitch aptamer". From Rfam's summary of the family: THF riboswitch presents a pseudoknot that joins P1-P2 and the loop of P3 and two THF binding. The record is from RNAcentral.
GCAGAGUAGGACAAACGCGUCAAGUGUUGCAAAACGGGAUGUUGUUUGCAAACGAAAGGCAGCGAAUAUUUUGCGCCUGCGGUGUUUGUCCGCGUCCGUUG